Molecule: long non-coding RNA, 1141 nt
Organism: Glycine soja
Lineage: Eukaryota; Viridiplantae; Streptophyta; Magnoliopsida; Fabales; Fabaceae
Exons: 3
Source: RefSeq, a predicted model, not a curated record
UCAGAAAUUCAAAUAUCAAAACCAUCAUUUUUAAAAUAUAAGGACUGAAACCAUUUUUGGUCAACUAGUUGAGAGACUUAAAACACAAUUUACCCAAACAUAUCAUGUGACUUUCAAUAUCUGAUUUUGCUCAAUUGUUCUGCUUCUUCGAUAGGAAUCUUAAUGUUGCUGAGGAUGAUGAUUUUGGUAAGGAUGCCAAUGAAGAUAGUGGAGACCUAGUUUCGGGACUUUACUGCAAGAUUGUGGUUCAGUUUGAGAAAUAUAGAGACUCUCAUGAUGCACUGAAAGUUGUUUGUGGUCGGUCAUUGCAAAAGCAAGGAUCACGAUUGAAGGCCGAUUACGAGGUUUGUUGGGACAGAGAUGGAUUUUUUCGGAAUUCAAGGAAUCAAACUAAGGCUACCUGCCUAGAGCAUGACAAACAUAGGGAUUCAUGGGCUUUAACUCAAUCCUACAAAACUGGCUUGUAAGGUGAGGAUUACUCCCUACUUAUAUAGUUUAUUAUUAUCUUUAUUCGAUAUUAGACUUUAACAUGCUCCAUUUUUCUCAUGGUUACCCGUUACAUGAGACUUUCAACACACUCAUCUAUCUAAGUGUGAACACAAAACUCAGAGAAGAGUAACAUGGUAUCCACAAGGGCAGCAGAUCAUUGCAGAAGUGAAGCUCCCACACGUCAGGCCUACAACUCUCGCCACAGUCCAGAUAAUGUGCGCCCAAGGAGAUUCAAGGAAUGAGGGCUGAAAGCUUUUUUAAUGUCUGGGUACAAAUUGGAAAAUUUUGAUUGUGGACUGACUCAAGUUUGGUACAUCAGCUGCAUACAAUUUCUAGGGGUCAUUGACUUGGGUCAACUCAAGCUUAUGACCAAGAAUUAUCUUCGGAAAUCAACUUUACUGACUUUAGAAUUCAUUGUUCCAAAAUAUGGCGAGCAUUAAAACACUGCUAUUUUUACGGAUCCACAUUCUUAUCCCAAAUAAUAAAUAUCCUUUGUUGCUGUGCAAUCAGUUAUCAUUUUAUUUGCUAAGUUGUCGAGCCAAAAUCUUAGGUUGGAUGAAUUGAGUUAAUAUCAUUUGGAUGUGUUGUAAAAUGAUAGUGAGAAGAAUCGUACUUUUCAAUUUCAUGUUGUAUCUUUUUGAACUCGUUAAAA